UAUGGCCACAUCACAUUGAAACACCUGUUCCUAUAUGUUCACUGAAGUUAAGCAACAUCCAGCCUAAUCAGUACCUAGAUGGGUGACUGCUAGGGAAUACCAGAUACUGU
Molecule: non-coding RNA, 110 nt
Organism: Acanthosepion pharaonis
Lineage: Eukaryota; Metazoa; Mollusca; Cephalopoda; Sepiida; Sepiidae
Source: the annotation of a GenBank genome assembly